This is a long non-coding RNA of Mesocricetus auratus (golden hamster), 5579 nucleotides long. RefSeq lists it as uncharacterized. The transcript has 3 exons. Lineage: Eukaryota; Metazoa; Chordata; Mammalia; Rodentia; Cricetidae. The record is from RefSeq and is a predicted model, not a curated record.
UUGGCAGCCUACAAGCCUGGUGCCAGUGAGUCUGGGAAACAGCGAGAUUCCCAAGAUAUAUAUGCCAAGCGAAUACUCUACCACUGAGUUACUCCUCAACAUUUUAGUUUUUGAGAGGAUCUCUGUAGGUUGCCAAGAUAAUCUCCCUGGUUCCAUCUCAAUCCCUUCCCUUUGCAAGGUUUGGGAUAAUGAGCAUCAUUGCUGGUAAUACUCUAUCUUACAUAUUGUAGACAAAAUAAUCUCAUCUGGUUUGGCCAUGGUAGUGUCAGAUAAAAAUAUCAGUCGAUAGCUCUUACUCUAUCUUGGAUGAAAGCAGACUGCAAUGGAGUCUCAGCAAAUGCUGUAGAUUGGGUAUAGACUACUUUCUGCUUGAAUACUUUUUGUCAUAGAUUUCUUAAUAUAGAAAUCUGUUCAUAAGGACAGUCUUCCUUGGGGUCACUGCAGAUCUGAUUACAUUAGGUUGUCCCUGUUUUCUUGUAGCAUUCUUCUAGUACCAUAAAGUCAUUUUAUUUCUUCUCUCCAUUAACAAGUACAUAGGCAGGAUUUCAUCCUUUGUGCUUGAAGAGUCAGAAAAUUGUGCUCCAAGUUGUUACACAGUAUGGUAUGUGUGAUGAACUAUAGACAUAAGACUUGCACAAGUUAAAGAUAGUUGUGGUGAUAUACUUACAAAAGGAAUUGUAAUGGAAACUAAGUAUGGUGGAAUAUUUAAAUAAUUCUCCAAAAUUACAGAAGUGUUAUCAUAAGCAGAACAAAGAAAAACAGAAUCAAAAUAAUAUUUCAAUUUUUGGGCUGGCAAGACUUCCAGAGGUGGGACUGUGUUGCAUUCGAUUGAAUUGUUGGCCUUGGCAGAUGAUAACCAUGCUGGAAGAGUCCCAUAGAUAUUCCUAAAUAACCAGGCUGAUGCUAAGACAGAGGGUAUCUCCAUGAAAACAGACAACAGGACACAGAUGCUGAGGACAUCAUCCACACAGCUUAUUGAAUACAGAGAGUUUGAGCUGGUAACUGCAUGAAGACUUCACCCCUAAGACCUAAUCUUUUUGUCAUGAGAAGGUACUCUGCAAGCUGCAGAAAGAGAAACCUGUACUCAAACCCAGCCACAAAACCCUUGACCUGUACAAUCUGUCCUGCCUUUAAGGUGGAAUAGAACUUAUGUGUGUGUGGCCAACUAAGACUUGGUUUAACUCAAGCCCAAGUCCACGAGAGGAAACCUGUGACCUAUUCUACAUGUAUGACCAUGAUACAGAGACUAGAUAGCCCAGAGACAUAUGGUAGAACCAAACAGGAUGGGAAAAAAGCCAGUGAAAUGAUUCUUAAUGGUAUUCUGCUAUACUCAUAGAUCUUUGGCUUGUCCAUUCAGCAUCAGAGAGGCUUCCUAGGGCAGCACAUGGGAGUGGGUACAGAGACCCACAUCCAUACAUUAUGCAGAGAGAGAGAGGUUUGUGUAGUGUUGUGUGUUCUCUUAAUCUCUCUCUCUCUCUCUCUCUCUCUCUCUCUCUCUCUCAUCUCAUUCAUGUGAGUUGUUGAAUCUCUAGUCCCAUGCACCUUGAUGCUCACAUCUCUCCUCUAAGGGCACCUGGCAGGAUGAUGAUGCACAGACCUACAGGCAAGAAAAAUGUUUAUCCUGAUAAAAAAAUGAAAGAAUCAGAAGGUCAAGAUCAUCCACACUUCACAUUUCCUUAACCUUGUGCCAGAGACUGUAGCAAAGAAAAAAUAAAGCGCAAGGUCACAGCUUGACUGGAUUACUUAUAUUUGCACAUCUCUUGCCUUCCAGUUAAACCUUCCUUCCUCUUGGAGCUGAGGAAUCUAACCUUACUAAUUUGAAUGUUUGUGAGGAAACUUUUUUAGUUUUCAGAGGAACACAAAUACUUGGUUUACUUCACAUUUCAACAUAGUUUUUGUUUAUUUUAUUGAGACAGGGUUUGUCUUUUUCUGUAGACUUUGUUGAAUCAGAAUUCACUGUUCAGAUCAGGCUAGCCUGAUUUCACAGAGAUUUCUCUUCCUCUUUGAUCCAUGUGAAAAUUUUAAAUUAAAGGUAAACUCCAUUACAACACAGCUUUUAAGUUUUACUUUUAUAUGACAUCCAUAAAGCCUUAUCCAUACUCUGACACUCUUAUACUAUUACCUGCAGACAUAUUGUCUCACUGCAUGGCCCAAGACUUCUUUCUGACUAUGGCCAUGAAAGUAGCAAACUUCUCCAAAACAUUUUAAGUCUACUGUUAGUGGGACAUAUUUUUUAUAUAUUUUUUGAAGUUUCAUAGGAAGCCUCAAAACAAUACUCAACUAGAAAUAGCAAAGAAUGAAGUAGCCCAAAAUAACAAUAGUUUGAGGUUAAAACUGAUUGCUAAAUAUAGCUUUAAACAUAAUUGAAAGUAUCAAAAUUAUGUUUCACUGAUAACUUGUAUGGUGGGUUCCAUAUUGGGAAUGGUAAAGAAGGAGAAGAGUCCUUUAUAGUUUGUUUUUAAGAUGGAAGGGAAUAAAAUUCAGAGACUAAGAAGAUGACAUGAUAUAUGUUUAAAAACAGUCUCCUGCUCCCUUAAAGAACACAAAUACUAAGAUACAAGAAGGAUUCUUUCUAGGAAGCAGUGGCUGCUUCAGACAGGACAGCUGGCAUGGACUAGAGUGUAUGAAUCGGUAUCUGAAUGUAUACUAGGGGAUGACUAAUGGGGUAGUGGUGAACUUGUGGUAUGUACUGAAAAUAGAUAAAUGGUGUAGUUUGUAAGUUUUCUUUGUAAGACCUUUUAUGAUGCCUUGUUAAUAUAUAACUGCCCUUAUCUGAGUAGCUACAUGGUCUUUCUCUGGUAGCUCUCUCUCUGCCUUACUCUUCCCAGAAUUUUCCUAAUCUGGUAGCCCUACUUAUACUUCCUGACUGGCCACUGGCCAAUAAGUAUUUAUUUUUCAACCAAUAACAGAAACAUAUACUCACAGCUUACAGAAGGACCUUCUUCAUUAUAUCUCCCAGUGCCAGUGGGGCUAGAAUACAGGCUGAGGCACAUGUCUAGUCAUGGUCAUUGGAGACAGAGACAUGGCUUAUGGACUCCAGCUUAAGUAUAGCUGCUCUGAUCUUUCAGGGCUUCCCUGGGUUCCAUGCAUUUCCUUUUUCUCAGGUUCCUUCUUGGGAAUCCACAUGAUUUCUCUUAGCCCUAUGCCAUUCAGCUGUGUAAAUGUACAUGUGUUUAUAUACCUACAGGGACUUCUGGGAAGGCAUCAUUCCAUUCUCACCCUCCUUCCUCACAGAGUGGGAGCAUCAAGGUAUAAAAACUAACCCUUCUUUAAAGAUGAUGAUAUAGAAGAGGAAUGAACUGCAUGUACUCCUUAUCCAUUAUCCCCAAAAUGAUUUGAGCAACAGGUAUUCAUCAUGCACCAUUCUCUGGUGAAUCACUUGCCACUCCUGUGUCAAGUCAAGCAUUGACCUGUGUCAAGUUAGGUCAUUGGAAGCUCCACCUUCAGGGUGUCCUCCUGCCCAAACAAAUUUUCCUGAGUACAUCUGAGGCAGAACUGAAACCUAGACAGGAGUGAGAUGGGUACACAGGGUGUUCUGAUUCCUCCAAAAGUAAAGCAGACCCUGUGGCCUGAGUCACAUUCUACAGACAGGGGCAGUAGUGUGUGAGCUCACAACAUGCAUUCAGGAAGCCUUGACAGGUGUUGGCUUAUGGGAGAUGCUGGGUGCUUCUGGUUUAUGGUAAGUCUUUGUAUUUCACUAGGUGAGUUUUUGCUGGUUGUUCUGGGAGCAGAUUAAAGGGCUUGUCCUACUUGGUCCAUCUGGAUAUGUGACUGGAAGGUCUGGAGCUCAUCCUAGGUCUUCUCUGAUCUUGUUCUUUGUAGUCUGAGACAAGGCCACCAACCUGCAUUCCUUUGACAUCCUAAUUAUGUUUGAGUUUAUGUGUGUGAAGGGCUCUCUAACAGACCCCAAGUUUGAAAAAAUGGCAGCAGAAGAUUUUGCUCUUUUCACUUCCCUCUUCACUGAUAUACCAAUAGAUUGCAUUCCUAAAUUUAGUUUCCAAGGUCCAUUCUCUUAUUUUGUCACUGACCAAUUCCUGUGUCUAAAAACCUCUCUCCAGCAAUCAAAAUUCUGUAUUUGACUACACUGGCAAACCUGUCCAAUCAGGUUUAACCAAACCUAGCACAGACUUCCCCUCUUUUUUUUUUAAAUGCACUGCUGAAAAAGAAAACCUGCUUGAUGUCUGCUCCUGUGUGGUGCAGGUGAAGCUUCCUGCCUGCCCCCCAUCCCAUUCUUUUCCUCCUGAGGUAAUAAAUCUGCUUUUUGCUGUAGAGUCUGUGUUCUGUACUGUCUCUGUGGGGCUCCAUUAUAGGGUGUGUGUGUGUGUGUGUGUGUGUGUGUGUGUGUGUCUCCAGAUCCUGUGAGGCACAGAUUGCUAGCAAGGCUGAGGAUUUGUGGGUCUCAGAGUUGCCAAGUGAGAAGGUUCCAGUACAUAAGAUCAGGAUAUGACACCCAGUGGGCUAGGUCAGUCACAGACAAAGGCUUACUUCAUGUGAUUUCAGAGGACUGUGUUCAUGGGGUUCUUUUCUCCUGGGGCCAUGUCUUACCACAGGCUUGAGAUGCUGAAAAUGGAGCAACAGGCACAGAUGUCAGAUGUGAAGAAAUUCCCCAAGGAAAGUAGUGAGGCCUUGUACAAGAGAAAGUACCUGACUGAGAAGUCCAGCUUCUACCAAGAAACUGGCCAACUGCUGGCCCCACUGCAUUUCUUCCAAGAAGACUAGAUACUGAAGAAACUCUACCCACAUAAGUGGAAAUGCUAGCCACUGAGCAAUCCUGCCUUUCACCUUAACUGCUGCAAAGGACUCUUCAGACCAUGGACGGGAUGGCAGUGGAAUCAACUUUCUCCAUGUUGCUUGGGCCAAUGGGUUUCUCUGUAUUGUUUUGGAGGCUUUCCUGGAACUCGCCCUAUAGACCAGGAUGGCCUGGAACUCACAGAGAUCCUCCUGCCUCUGCCUCCCGCAUGCUGGGAUUAAAGGCGUGUGCCACCAACGCCCGGCUUAAAAAAUGUUUUAGGAUAUAGAAAACUAACUUAAGGUGUACAAAUGCAAGUUAUCAGAUUUAUUUCUUGUUAUGCUACUUUUCAUAGUCUUAACAUUAAUCAAUAAAGUUCUGAUAAACUAUUAAUCCAAGUCUGACAGGUCACUAAACAACAUACCACUAUGAUAACUACAAGGUUAAGAUUAAGGUGCUUUUCAUUGUCUUAAAGAUAUUAGUCAGUUUUAAAAGUGUCAAUGCUUUCAGCCAAAUUGUUUCUGACAUGAGUAUACUGCUAAUGAGUCUAAAACUUAUGUUUUCACAAACUCAAAGGAUUUUUGUAAGUUCCAGGGAGACAAAUUGGAUCCACCCAAACAGCAGAUUCACUCCAAAUUUCAUUCUAUCUUUUCCUGGACCUGGGACUCACUUCCCUCAUCUUGGGACCCUCUCAGGAAGCCCUACCUAAUCUUACAAUCUUUUCCUCAUAUGCCUUUAAAAAAAAACCCUGACUGCAGCUACUAGGGGUCAAACUCCUCUGCCCCUGCGAGGGUCAUGAGCUCAGCCCCAGUGCACUGGUUCCCCGAAUAAACCUCAUGUGCUUGCAGCA